Molecule: non-coding RNA, 1459 nt
Organism: Cyanistes caeruleus (blue tit)
Lineage: Eukaryota; Metazoa; Chordata; Aves; Passeriformes; Paridae
Source: RefSeq, a predicted model, not a curated record
GUGCAGAAAGAAAAGCAAAAACCUGAAGCCUCUGCAUACAAGGCCAUCUGCCAGGAGCCAUCGAAGUGCAUCCAGAUAGAGGUAUGAGGCACCAAAUGAAGACUCACCAAAAAGAACCGUACUGUUGCUGUGGCACAGCACAGAGAUAUCACAUUCUUGUUAUUGUGGUCAAGGUGGAGAUAUUCUUAAAGGCCCUUGGCACACUGACAACCAAAUGAAUCGAUUUGUAAUCUUCUACUUCCACCACUUUCCUGAGGAAUCUUCAGCUCAACCUAUAGGCCCCAAACAUGAUAAACCAACCAUGCUGUAACACUACACAUCAACAUCAAGUUAUAUGGUAACUACAAAUCUCUCCUGCCCACACAGUAUGUGCCAGUCUGGCCAUAUGUAGAGCAGGAUGAGAUCUUCAGGAGAUGUGUGUCCCCAUCUUCCCCUAAUGGCUGCGUUUACUGGCAUGUAAAUGCUAGCAGACUGGUAGAAAUGUCUUUUACUGUGAUCUAGCACAAAGCCUGCCUUCCUCUUCUGAUUUCUGAUCAGUAGAUACAGAAGCAUUAACUAGCAUUUUCCAGAGUUACUGUCAAUAUAAAAAUCCUCAGCUUUCCCCACACAUUUUAACACUUAUAAUGGAGGAACAUUUGCCACAGAAGAUAAAAACGAGAACAAAAAGAAAAUGUUUAUGUUAAUGAAUACACAGUUUCUAAUGAUCCAGCACAAGAACCAAAGCCCCACAAAAUGAUGACAAGAAGUGUGAGGCACAGGAGUUAUUUGUGAGAAAGAAAAUGAGUCUAAAGCAGCAGCCUUCAUCUAUGGAAUGACAGGACCUUCCUGCUGCUCUGAAUGACUUCAGGAAGUGUUUGUGUGUACACACAAGUACACAUAAUUUUGGGGCUCUUUUUAACUGACCAUUGAUUGCAGUAUCUUGUUCAUUCCUACUGUUCAUUAACAUGUGUAACCUGCACAUGACUGUGAAAGAAUGCAGAUGGCUCAAUUAGAAAAUGCUAGAUCCACUGAAAAAAAUUAGCUCGCUUACAGUCAUAUCUUAUUCAAUAUUUUAGAACCUCUAACUUGAAAUGAGGACCCCAGGACAUACUCAAUACUUCCUAAGUGCCUGACUACCUAUGUUUCACAUAUUUGUGUUGCUCUGCUAAGACACUGUAAUGUUUUUAAAUCCAGGAGCAGUCUUUAUGAAAGACUUGUUUUACAGUGCAGCUUAUUUUUAGCGCUCCUAGAUUUUUAUUUUUUUUUAAUGGCUUUAAAAUCAUUACAUGCACACAGAUGCAACUGAAAGUUAAUUUUCAUAAAGCAAGGAAUUAAGAGGAGUUUGAACAAGUACUAUCUGUACUCUCUAAAACAUACAGCAGGCAGAGGCCAAAACAAGCAGUGGUCACAUUUUGAAAUCAGUAUUUCCAAACAGCUCCAUUUACAUUGCUCUUUCUGUGUAAUAACAUAAGAUGAUAUC